UUGCUCUUUUUCUUCGUGCUUGAAGUAAUUUUAGUUUUUCCUCUUAUCCUACCAUUAAUAAUAAGAAGCAUCAAAUGUAAAAGGUAAUAUUGUUACUGAUUUUCGCAAGAAAAACUGGUGCAUUGUUCGGAAGGUAUUUUGCUGGCUACCGAUUUUGGCAAGGGAAACCGGUGCGCCAUUCGGAAGGUAUUGCCAGAUAUUGAUCCACUUAGUUUCGCUUUGUAUGUUUUGGGAGGUGCCUUUAGGCAUGGUGAUCAAUAGGGUGCAAGGAUACUGAAAAGCAGUGACAGAGCCCUGUUCCUUGGCGACGGAAGGGGUUUGCCCUAUUUCGGUCAGAUCAAAGUGGAUUUCGUUGGUUUGGUUUAGUAGCUGAUCUGAAACACCAUGACAAGCCGCCUAAUCAAACUGAUGAGGACUGUACAUCUAUUGCAGUUUUUGACUAAAAGGGACCUGUUGGAAGGUCGAAUGCCGGAGCUUAAAGGCUAGAUCUUCAGCUCCUUGCAAUCUUAAAUUCAGCUUAAAUCUGGCAUUCUCUAAAUUCCAAAUUGACAGCAGAAUAAUAUUCACCUUACUCUGUCAAGGAAAAAAAUGGUAGUCUACAUUCAAACAUUAUGGAUUGGAAAGCAAGGGGAGGAGGAUUAUUUUACUGCAGAACAAAACUCGAUAUAGAGCUAGAGAGAGACAAAGGAGAUUGCAACGAAGCAGGAGGUAUGGAUGAGAAUUUUCAAUUCCAACUGCAUCUACAUGCAUUAUAGUUUGACGAUGGUUCAUUCAAAUGUAAACAUAGUUCCAUAAACCUUUUCAAAUGUGAACUGAUGGUUUAAGGUAGCAAGUCUGGUCUUCUAAUAGUAAAGAAGUCAGAAUUGGAUUGCAAAUUGUAGCUUGAAACUUUAAGUGAUUAUCUCAUGUGUUGAUCAGUUCUUUUGUGUCAUUGUUGCGCCUAAGGGAAUGUAUUCAGUCCUUACCUUAGACAACUUGAGUUUCUCAAUAACUGAAUCUUUUUUCCAUAUUUUAUUAUUUUGUAAGUUGUUCUAAAAAGUUGUUUUGCCCACCCAUAAAAAAUUACAUUCAUAGUACUAUAGUAGCAUGUUUAGCCAAAACUAGACGUAAAAAAAAGAAAAAGGACUAUUGCCUUUUGCAUUGUUCGAAGCUGCUGUUUCAAAAAAAUAGGCUGCAUAAAUUAACUUCGCAUAUUGUAUACAUCACCAAAUAGGGCUAAAAGAGUUCCUUGAUAUCUAGGACUUGCUCAAAAGAGUUCCUAGGGUUCCAAGAGACUUCGUUUGGUUACAAGAGACUUACUUUUGAGCAAGUCCAAUGAUAAAUGCAACACUAUAAUUUGAACCCGGAAAUCAUUUCCGUCAAUGGAUAGACAUUAGGCAUAGAUUCAUCAGUUUUUGCCACGUCAAGUAACAAAGGAACCAUUGUCGAUUCUCGAACAACCUUGACAUACGUAGCUGAAGAAGCCUUUGAUCCUUUUGUUAGUGGUGUAAAUCACGAAAGAGCAAUUCAUUAAAUAUUUGGUAAUGUGAUUGUCAACCAUUGUCUGAAUUUUUUUUUUAAAUAUGUUCUUUGUUGUCCUACCCUUAUAUAAGAAGCAGCAGUUUUUCGGCUGCCAUUUCCCAAUUUGGAACAACUUUGCCGCUCAAUUGGAGAUUGCUGUGUGUUGGCAUUUGAGGGUAGUUGCGUCGUUUCACUCUUGAAAAAAUUUGGUUCCUAUAAACUUUGCAAGUAAAGUUGUUUAUUAUAGAACUUUAAUUGUGAUGUUUUGAUCUUAAAAAGUGGGCGUUUUGCCACAUAAUUUAGUGUGGCUUUUUGCUGACUUUAGUAGGUGGUUCUUUUGUUGGUUGGAGUUUUCUAGAAUUUGUAGCAAUGAUACGCAUUGUCUAUUUUUUAUAGAUUGAUGUCCUCUCUUUUUUUUUUGAUCGGCGAUUGAUUUCCUCUCUUGCAUUCUUUUUGUCCUAUUUCUCUAUGCCUUUUGCUUUUUCCAUUCUAUUGAUUUACUCAUUUCAAUGUUGUUCUUUUUUUCUUUUAUAGUUCGGCGAUCUAUUGCAGCUGCUUGGCUUCGGAUUAGAUGAUAAAACUUCUCGGCGCUUAUAUUCUUGACUACCUUUCGUCAGGUAUCUUUUCUCUUCUUUUGCAUUUUUUCCAGAUUACAUUGUAGUUGGAAAUACAAUUUGGUUUGUGAUUCUAGAUUUUAUUUUCCUGGUGUGGAACAUGUAAUUUGGAAACGCAUUGUUCGUCUAUCUUUUAUUGAUAGUUGUGUCAUCGUCGAAAAUAUUUGUUACGAGAAAUAUUGAAUGCCUCUUCAACUUUUUUCCUUCUUCCUCAAA
Molecule: long non-coding RNA, 2330 nt
Organism: Rhododendron vialii
Lineage: Eukaryota; Viridiplantae; Streptophyta; Magnoliopsida; Ericales; Ericaceae
Exons: 6
Source: RefSeq, a predicted model, not a curated record